Molecule: non-coding RNA, 284 nt
Organism: Pelobates cultripes (western spadefoot toad)
Lineage: Eukaryota; Metazoa; Chordata; Amphibia; Anura; Pelobatidae
Source: the annotation of a GenBank genome assembly
CGGAGACCGCCGGGAAGGGGUACUUAACCUGUGGUUAACCACAAAACCAACAUUCUAAUUGAGGCCAUACGCCAGGAUGUAGGUGGUCCUCGUUCGUGAGUCUUUCGGUAGAUUUAGUUCGGUAAAUAGUGCACGAACGGGAAUGCCCUGCGACCGUCAAUUAGGCUGUGGUUAACUGCAGACCGCAGCUCCCUUGGCGAUUAAUUAGAGACACGCUCCGCUCGUAGGGUGGUCGGCUGUUCGGGUAUUGGAAAGGUGACAAGGGUUAAGUGGCGACACACGCC